Molecule: ribosomal RNA, 575 nt
Filed under: uncultured bacterium
Lineage: Bacteria
Description: bacterial SSU rRNA
Rfam family: Bacterial small subunit ribosomal RNA
Source: RNAcentral
CCGCUGGCGGCAUGCUUACCCAUGCAUGACGAACGGUAACAGGCCGCUGCGAUCCCUUCGGGGUGACCUUGGCGCUGACGAGUGGCGGACGGGUGAGUAACGCGUAGGAAUCUGCCUGGCAGCGGGGGACAACUCCGGGAAACCGGAGCUAAUACCGCAUACGCCCUACGGGGGAAAGACGGGGAUCUUCGGACCUGUCACUGCCAGAUGAGCCUGCGUAGGAUUAGCUAGUUGGUGUGGUAAAGGCGCACCAAGGCGACGAUCCUUAGCUGGUCUGAGAGGAUGAUCAGCCACACUGGGACUGAGACACGGCCCAGACUCCUACGGGAGGCAGCAGUGGGGAAUAUUGGACAAUGGGCGAAAGCCUGAUCCAGCAAUGCCGCGUGAGUGAUGAAGGCCUUAGGGUUGUAAAGCUCUUUUACCCGGGAUGAUAAUGACAGUACCGGGAGAAUAAGCUCCGGCUAACUCCGUGCCAGCAGCCGCGGUAAUACGGAGGGAGCUAGCGUUAUUCGGAAUUACUGGGCGUAAAGCGCACGUAGGCGGCUUAGUAAGUUAGAGGUGAAAGCCUGGAGCUC